RNAcentral lists this ribosomal RNA (468 nucleotides) under uncultured bacterium. RNAcentral describes it as "partial 16S ribosomal RNA". It matches the Rfam family "Bacterial small subunit ribosomal RNA", at positions 28 to 507 of the family's 1533-position model. The record is from RNAcentral.
GACGAACGCUGGCGGCGUGCUUAACACAUGCAAGUCGAACGGAAAGGCCCUGCUUUUGUGGGGUGCUCGAGUGGCGAACGGGUGAGUAACACGUGAGUAACCUGCCCUUGACUUUGGGAUAACUUCAGGAAACUGGGGCUAAUACCGGAUAGGAGCUCCUGCUGCAUGGUGGGGGUUGGAAAGUUUCGGCGGUUGGGGAUGGACUCGCGGCUUAUCAGCUUGAUGGUGGGGUAGUGGCUUACCAAGGCUUUGACGGGUAGCCGGCCUGAGAGGGUGACCGGCCACAUUGGGACUGAGAUACGGCCCAGACUCCUACGGGAGGCAGCAGUGGGGAAUAUUGCACAAUGGGCGGAAGCCUGAUGCAGCAACGCCGCGUGCGGGAUGACGGCCUUCGGGUUGUAAACCGCUUUCACCUGUGACGAAGCGUGAGUGACGGUAAUGGGUAAAGAAGCACCGGCUAACUACGUG